Suncus etruscus (white-toothed pygmy shrew) is the source of this 102-nucleotide small nuclear RNA. The record is from RefSeq and is a predicted model, not a curated record. NCBI's taxonomy places the organism in Eukaryota, Metazoa, Chordata, Mammalia, Eulipotyphla, Soricidae.
GCUCGCUUCGGCAGACAUAUACUAAAAUUGGAACGAUACAGAGAUUAGCAUGGCUUCUGCUCAAUGAUGACACAAGUCUGUUUUUAUUUUUUAUUUUAUUUU